This 253-nucleotide ribosomal RNA is filed under the name uncultured bacterium. RNAcentral's name for it is "partial 16S ribosomal RNA". It matches the Rfam family "Bacterial small subunit ribosomal RNA", at positions 524 to 776 of the family's 1533-position model. The record is from RNAcentral.
UACGUAGGGGGCUAGCGUUGUCCGGAAUCAUUGGGCGUAAAGAGCGUGUAGGCGGCCCGGUAAGUCGGCUGUGAAAGUCCAGGGCUCAACCCUGGGAUGCCGGUCGAUACUGCCGGACUAGAGUUCGGAAGAGGCGAGUGGAAUUCCCGGUGUAGCGGUGAAAUGCGCAGAUAUCGGGAGGAACACCUAUGGCGAAGGCAGCUCGCUGGGACGUUACUGACACUGAGAGACGAAAGCUAGGGGAGCGAAUGGG